RNAcentral lists this unclassified non-coding RNA (297 nucleotides) under Hevea brasiliensis (rubber tree). The record is from RNAcentral. Lineage: Eukaryota; Viridiplantae; Streptophyta; Magnoliopsida; Malpighiales; Euphorbiaceae.
GGCUGUGGUUUUCCACGAACAUCAUAGAAUACCACUCGACCACUGCUAGUUCCAGCGGCAAGAAUCCAGCUAUCCUCUCUGAAUGCCAAUGAAGAGAAAGGUGCCUCAUAAGAUAUGAAGGAUGAGGGUCUCCGAGACCCUGAAUCAUAAGUGUAUAACUUUUUAUCCAGUCCAACACUAGCUAUUAUCUUGUCAUUUGAUGGUGAGAAGCUAAUACCAGCAGUUGGGGCAGAAUGUUGCUUCAACCAAGAAAUCUUAGGGCUGCGACCAGUUGUAUCCCAUAAAUGUACUGACCCA